ACCCAAGGUCUCCCCCUAUUUCUCUUUCUCCUCACUUUCUCUCUAAAAUCUUUAUCCUUUUCAAAUUUAUUUGUCUAAUCUUUUUAAUUUGAAGUUUUCAGUCUUCUCUAUUAAUGCCAAAUAAAAAAAAAAUAGUAUUGGACUAAGACAUAGUUGUACUAAUGGAUCUCUAAUUCUAAUAAAUCUUGCAUGUUGGCCGAAGUGACAAUAGUCAGAGUUCCCCCUCUGUCUGUCUCUCUGAGUUUCUACUGAGACAUAGCUGUAUUAAUGGGUCUCUGAUCUUAAUAAAUUAAGGAUUCUCAACCCAUAUAUGAUUUUAGUUUUGGGUUUUUCUUUUUUUGAUAGCCAAGGUUAAUUAAUCCUUAAUACCUAUAUUAAUAAAUUUUGUUAUUAAUUUGAGCACAAAAGUCCUAAAUUAUUUUCUAAAUAUGGGGAGAGAUCUUUUUGCAUUGUUUUAAAGGAGCAUGAAAGUUCACUAUUGUAGGCCUAGCCAAAGUUAAUUAAUCCUUAAUACCUAUAUUAAUAAAUUUUGUUAUUAAUUUGAGCACAAAAGUCCUAAAUUAUUUUCUAAAUAUAGGGAGAGAUCUUUUUGCAUUGUUUUAAAGGAGCAUGAAAGUUCACUAUUGUAGGCCUCAUGUUCUGUUAAAUCUUUUUUUUCCAGUUAGAUCAUAAGAUAUCAAUCAAAGAUCGAUUUGAUAAAAGCUAACGUUUAAAAUUGUUUCUCUUC
This 727-nucleotide long non-coding RNA is filed under the name Malus domestica (apple). RNAcentral's name for it is "long non-coding RNA (MDOM_LNC017322)". Lineage: Eukaryota; Viridiplantae; Streptophyta; Magnoliopsida; Rosales; Rosaceae. The record is from RNAcentral.